CCCGACUAUAUUUCUAUGAUGAAUACGAACAUAUAAAAAUGCAUUAAAGAUUUAUGAAUACUUAAAGAUCACGUAAAGCAUAGCGGUAUAUUUCUAUCCCCUAUCGGACUUUACGACAAUUAACAUAAUGUCUAACUUAUUUUCCAUCUCUCGAGGGUAAAACAAGUCACAAAUCUCAUACAACUAUUGCGCACAUAAUUGUAGAGAAAAUAAAAUAUAUGCAAAUCAUUCAAUAAUUAAAAACAUGUUUUAACGUCAAAUGAAUAAAAUUCAAGAUUAAUGAUUCAUAAUAUAAGGUUCAUCGCAAAUCCUAGCACGAAAAGAUCUAGCCUAACAUAACGGUAGAAUUAAAUAAAUAAAAGUGGAACGACAUCACCAAUAAUUGACGAAACGUGAUUAAUCUUUCAAUGUAUAGAUCUGUCGUCUUUUUCCUCUUUUCUGCGUGAUGUCGUCUGCCUCUGUAUGCGCGUUCCUUAAUUCCAAUUGUCCAAUUUCUCCCCAAGCAGCCUGCUUCCUGUGGCAAUUAUAUAUGUAUAAAAAGCAGAUUUGAGCCCACCAAUUAAUUCCCAGCAGCUGAUUUAUUUUAGUAAUUCAGCACUCAAUUCCCAGGUCCUAAUCUGCUUGGCUCGAUCUCUGUGUAUAUAUAUUUAAGUGCAACUGUCCAAUGUCUCUUUAAUUCCAAUUCGACCCCAAGCUGUAGUCGAUUUUCUGCCGUGGAAUAUACUCAAUUCAGCCCCAUCAAUUCUCUUUUUUUUUUCUGCCACUAAAUCUGCCAAUUAAAGAGUCCAAAACCAGCUUGCUUUCUGUUCCUUUUAAUUCCCCCAAAGCUGCCGGUUUUCUCCCUGUCUAUAUAUUAUGUUUUCUUCCGCCCACCAGCCUCGGCUUGCUGUAUAUUUAAUCCAGGGAUUUCAAUUCGCUCCCACGGCAGCCUUCUCCUCGUCGUUUUCUGUCUAUCUGUUUAUGAAUUUUUCUACUCCCCCCGGCUUUUGUCGGCUGCCAGUGUAUAUAUACAUCAACCAUAAAACCCUGGUCCCAAAAAAAAAUAAGAACCCAAAGCCAAAAAAGUUUUGUGUACUCAAUUCUUUCGUGUAAUGCAAGUUAGUCCUUCUCUUCAUUUUCUCCUCAAUUUUGAUCCUCCAUCUUUUAUUCCGCGAGAUUUUGUCCACAAACUCAAUGUAAUAGCCAACUGAUUAUUUUCUUUUCCAAUUGCUUCAAAACGGGUCCAUAACUAAAAACAAAAGAAAAUUAACACAAGUUAGGUAAAAAUUGAUAAUUUGACGACAUAAAAACCUAAUUAUGUAGUCCGAAUAAGUGCAUAAAAUGCACUUAUCAAACACCCCCAAACUAAAACAUUUGUUCGUCCUCGAACAAAACAAAAUAAAACUUAAGUAUAACACAUUUCUAGCAUAACAAAUCAUAAAUAAAAGACUCAACGUUGAACUACUUACCAUAUGCCUCAGGUUCGAAUUUAAGCAAUAUUUUAGAAAGAUCCAAAAAACAACAAAAAAAAAAAAAAUUUUGCUUAUCACAUACCCGAUGCUCGAUUUAGAGUGUGUGUGAGAUUAGCCAACAUUGAACUAACACCUAUAUUAGAAUACAACCAAUCAAGUGUUGUUGAUUUAUUAAUAGUCCCAACCCUCUUGUGGUCAUUUUUCCUCACACCUCUCGUGUAACAAUCAC
This 1680-nucleotide long non-coding RNA is filed under the name Olea europaea subsp. europaea. Lineage: Eukaryota; Viridiplantae; Streptophyta; Magnoliopsida; Lamiales; Oleaceae. The record is from RNAcentral.